GACGGGGCCGCACAAGCGGAGGAACAUGUGGUUUAAUCGAUGAUACGCGAGGAACCUUACCUGGGCUUAAAUGUAGAGUGCAUUUUUAGAGAUAGAAAUUCCCUUCGGGGCUUUUCUGCAAGGUGCUGCAUGGUUGUCGUCAGCUCGUGCCGUGAGGUGUCGGGUUAAGUCCCAUAACGAGCGCAACCCUUAUCGUUAGUUGCCAGCUGGUAAAGCAGGGGACUCUAGCGAAACUGCCACCGUAAGGUGAGAGGAAGGUGGGGAUGACGUCAAAUCAGCACGGCCCUUAUGUCCAGGGCUACACACGUGUUACAAUGGCCGGCACAGAGGGCAGCUACCUGGUGACAGGAUGCUAAUCUCGAAAACCGGUCUCAGUUCGGAUUGCAGGCUGCAAUUCGCCUGCAUGAAGCCGGAAUCGCUAGUAAUCGCGGAUCAGCAUGCCGCGGUGAAUACGUUCCCGGGCCUU
RNAcentral lists this ribosomal RNA (466 nucleotides) under uncultured Sphingobacteriales bacterium. Its description in RNAcentral is "bacterial SSU rRNA". It matches the Rfam family "Bacterial small subunit ribosomal RNA", at positions 917 to 1381 of the family's 1533-position model. Lineage: Bacteria; Pseudomonadati; Bacteroidota; Sphingobacteriia; Sphingobacteriales. The record is from RNAcentral.